AUGAAUUUGAAAUGAAGGCUUUGAAAGACAGCGUCUAACUCAGACAUGGACUAAUAAUCAUGUAAUCGAUAAAGGACCUCACAAAUGGGAUCCUAACAGGUUUAAAGACUUUCAUAAGAAGUUUCAAAAAUUACACUGUGAGAAUUUCAUUAAUUUGAAUACUAUCUCAUUCUGCUGUCUUUGCUCUGCAUUUGUGAAGGGAAGGCAUUUCAUGGAUGACUUUGGCAUUCAUCAUAAUGAGAACAACUUCCAUGGUGAAUACUAACCGGAAGAAUUGUGUGCUUUUUAAUGGUUUGGAACAUCACUCCUGGCAGCACCUUGGAGACUUAUUUUUUAACUAAUUUAUGCUCACGGGGUCUGGACUUCAAGAGCAUGUGUCCAUUCAAACCACUUACACACUUUAAUACAAUCUCUAUAAUAGAAGUUAUUCAUGUGGUUAUUUGAAGCCUGGUGGUAUAAUCCUCUCAUAUGAUAGUGUACUUUUGUGAGUUAGAAGUCAACAUUAAAA
Molecule: long non-coding RNA, 508 nt
Filed under: Homo sapiens (human)
Lineage: Eukaryota; Metazoa; Chordata; Mammalia; Primates; Hominidae
Description: non-protein coding lnc-RASA1-4:1
Source: RNAcentral